RNAcentral lists this ribosomal RNA (253 nucleotides) under uncultured bacterium. Its description in RNAcentral is "partial 16S ribosomal RNA". It matches the Rfam family "Bacterial small subunit ribosomal RNA", at positions 524 to 776 of the family's 1533-position model. The record is from RNAcentral.
UACGUAGGGACCGAGCGUUGUCCGGAAUCAUUGGGCGUAAAGCGCGUGUAGGCGGCCACUUAAGUCCUGCGUGAAAUCUUGCGGCUCAACCGCAAGCGGUCGUGGGAAACUGGGUGGCUAGAGUGCGGGAGAGGAGAGUGGAAUUCCUGGUGUAGCGGUGGAAUGCGCAGAUAUCAGGAAGAACACCCGUGGCGAAGGCGGCUCUCUGGAACGCAACUGACGCUGAGACGCGAAAGCGUGGGGAGCGAACAGG